Molecule: RNA transcript, 1008 nt
Organism: Ornithodoros turicata
Lineage: Eukaryota; Metazoa; Arthropoda; Arachnida; Ixodida; Argasidae
Exons: 8
Source: RefSeq, a predicted model, not a curated record
UAUACUCUUCGUCUAUGGCCAGAAGAAAUGCCUCGAGGUAUUUUCUUCAGUUCCGCAGAUUCAGUAUGGACCACCUCAAAAGCCAGGUCAUGCUAUCGCUAUCAUGCCUGCACUCGGGACUGUCAUGGUACAACUGGAAGUACUUCUGGGUCAAGUGUUAUCUGGAACUUGAAAUUUACCAUCUUUGUGGUUCCUUCCCAAAGGCCGUCGUCUGCUACUGCCUCGCUGCUCCCAACACAAGAAGAGCGUUUCUCAGAUUCUCCGCAAGUGGUAUGAACAGCAGCGCCCCUACAGGCCUUGCACUACGCAGCUCUACUAGCUCGCUCUACCCUCUACCGCCUCUACUGCGCCUGUUGCUCCGUUCCCUGGGUGAGAUACGAAGGGGACAGAGGUACAACUUGAACCCUGAACUACCUGAACUUUCACUGCAGCCGAACGGCCGAACCAUGAUAUCUGACGUCAUCCUUUUCGUAACAUUGAUGUUAAACGCAGGAGCUGUUUUGAACUUUAAUUUGAAGCAAAACAGGGAUGAAAUCUUUGUAGAGAAACCAAGCCUUGGUGACAAGAUACGCGAAUUUUUAAGUACCGUCCAGUAUUUGAGGGCAUUCAUUGGAAUCUGGAACAUAUUUGUUAUGUUCCUCAUGCUCGUGUUUUUUGGAUCAUGAUGGGAGCACCUUCACUAAAAUGACAAUUUAUGUGAUAAUGUAACCUAUAUAAAAUUCACAGUGACAUCCACAAGCAGCGCGGACCUCUAGCGACUACGGGAAAGAGGUUGGCGUGUGAUCAAGAGCAUGGAGGAAGGAAACACAGGAUCGGCCCUCUUUUCAACGGGGAGCAGCGUGCUGACGUGUGCAUGGGACUGAGAUACUCCUAUCUACCACGUGACCGCUUUCUUCUUCUUUUCUUUAGAAAUUGGCGAUAGCCUUUUGCAAUGGAGUUCAGUGGUAUGCUGUACGCCGUUUCCCAGCACUUUUCGGUACAGUAAAGGAUGAUCUGCUGUCAACUGCA